RNA transcript from Musa acuminata AAA Group (dessert banana), 565 nucleotides. It is a transcript of the gene named small ribosomal subunit protein uS9-like, with no coding region annotated. NCBI's taxonomy places the organism in Eukaryota, Viridiplantae, Streptophyta, Magnoliopsida, Zingiberales, Musaceae. The record is from RefSeq and is a predicted model, not a curated record. The transcript has a single exon.
AUGGCGGCGGCGGCGGUGGAGUCGGUCCAGUGCUUUGGUCGGAAGAAGACGGCGGUGGCGGUAGCGCACUGCAAGCGCGGUCGCGGCCUCAUCAAGGUGAACGGCGUCCCCAUCGAGCUGGUGAAGCCGGAGAUCCUCCGCCUCAAGGUCUUCGAGCCCAUCCUCCUCCUCGGCCGGCAGCGAUUCAUGGGCGUCGACCUCCGCAUCUAAGGCCGUUGUUGCCUUCCACCAGAAGUACGUCGACGAGCAGUCCAAGAAGGAGAUCAAGGACAUCCUCGUCCGCUACGAUCGCACCCUCCUGGUUGCCGACCCACGGCGUUGCGAGCCCAAGAAGUUCGGAGGCCGUGGCGCCCGUGCCCGCUUCCAGAAGUCGUACCGUUAAUAUCUGCCGUGGAAUGGGUUCGCAUUCAAUCACCAUCGAGUUUGGCUCUUUAUCUUUUGGUCCAAUGUUUCUGAGGCUUGUUUGUUCUUUUCUUAAGAGAUGGAUGUUCGAUUAUACAACUUUUGCUAUGAUUCUGCUCUUUGUUUCUUAUUAUUUUGAUAUUGUGAACUAGAUGUUGCUUUA